CAACUGCAGAUAGUGGUGAAAGGAUCGAAUCCACAGAGAAUUGAGAACCUAUUUAUUUUUCUCAACAAGACCAAGAGAAUUAACUGGAACAAUAAUAAACUAAAAAAAUGAGAUAAAAACUGAAAGUGGGAUCAAAUGAGAUAAACUGAAAGCGGAAUAAAAAUAAAUUGCAGUAAAAGUAAAAUGGGGGGUUUGAGAUUGAUUUGAUUAACAAACUACUGAAAGCAAUUAAAACAAGCUAAUAAUAAAAUAAAAGAAAAAUAAAUAAUAAGAAAGCUCUAGUUGCAGUAUUGGAUCCACUUUAGUUGUUGGGAUUGAUCACAGACACUUUAUUCUUUUGGGUUGACUCAAUAGAUUAGUUAUGGAGAUGGAAGACGCUUCUCACCACCAUUAUCUCUCCUUAU
This 404-nucleotide long non-coding RNA is filed under the name Manihot esculenta (cassava). Its description in RNAcentral is "long non-coding RNA (MESC_LNC012492)". The record is from RNAcentral. Lineage: Eukaryota; Viridiplantae; Streptophyta; Magnoliopsida; Malpighiales; Euphorbiaceae.